CUCCCGGUAGCUUAGCUGGUUUAAAGCGCAAGACUGUAAUAGUUCAAGUUAUCUUGAGAUCGGGCGUUCGACUCGCCCCCGGGAGA
Molecule: transfer RNA, 86 nt
Filed under: Sugiyamaella lignohabitans
Lineage: Eukaryota; Fungi; Ascomycota; Dipodascomycetes; Dipodascales; Trichomonascaceae
Description: Candida lignohabitans tRNA
Rfam family: tRNA
About the family: Transfer RNA (tRNA) molecules are approximately 80 nucleotides in length. Their secondary structure includes four short double-helical elements and three loops (D, anti-codon, and T loops).
Source: Rfam by way of RNAcentral